CUCCUCCCAGCUUGGUGAAGCUCCUCAUGUGAUCCAUUCUUCCUCCUAAAUAAAGUUGAACAUUUUGGCUGGGAUCAGUGAGUGCUGCUGAGGUGGCUGGCGUGUGCAGCUAUUCCAGCCUCGCAGGGUCUGCAGCGCGACCAACCCGCAUAUCCAGCACUAGCUGCCUCUCCGUUUUAAAGAGCACGGCGGAGGAGAAUGGUUAGUUAACACCGUGGCAGACUUCAUGCUCGGGGCUGUUUUGCCAGCCCCACAGCCCCUGACAACCCUCCCUCUCCAAAGUAGCCCCUGGGGCUGAGAAAGAUGUGGCCGGGCAAGGUAAUUUUUCCAGACCCCAGCUUUGCAAUCAGUGAUGACAUCUCUGAAUUUCCAGUUUAAAAAGGACAAAAAAUAAAAUCUCUUCCAGACAAGGUGAAUGUGAGAACAAAUAUUAAAGAAGAGGAAAAAAAAUCCGUUCAUUAGAAUGAAAGAUUUUUUUCUGUAACUGAUUUUGUUAGAAACUAUGAUGUUAGAAAAACCAAGUCUGCCUCUCAGCAAAAAAUCUGCCUUUGAUUUUAUUGUCUUUGGGGAAUACUUCAGGGGAAAGAAAACACUCACUGUGAAGCAAAUUCAUAAGAUGUAAACUAUGCUCAUUGUAGCGCUUAUUUUUCCUUUAAGCCUGAGGAGGAGCCCUGCCACCAGAAUGUUACAGGAAAAUUGAUUUGAUUUUCUCUAAUUAUCCAUUCAAGAAAACAAAGAUUCAAAAACUGGCAGUGAGAUCAGCAGCUUUUUCUUCUGACAGAGAAGGUGACAGUGAGCACCAGUUUCUGACUUAUACACCGUGUGGAUAUAGAUGACGUGCAUUGUUAACUUUCUGACACAUCCUCUUCCUUAUAAACUGCAUGGCUUCAUAAACAAACAAUACUUCUGAGCCCCAUCUAUGCCUUGAGAAGCCGAGAAAAAAAUUUUUUAUGGACAACGUUGGCUACAUGGGAAUCCUAGUUCAUGUUUCUUCAGAAAUUUUGAGUGAGUGAGAGCAACUACUGAAUCCCAAUGAGGCCCAAGUUCAAUGAAACUCCUGUACCUGCACUUUUGGCUUUGACGGAAUAUGAAAACUUUGCUAAGCUGAAUGCAACAGGAGACACUGAAACUAAACAGCUAGAAGGGUCCCUCUCAUCCACGGUUGCACUAAUAAUAGUGCUGAUCAUUAUUUUCUCUUUGAUAAUGACAUCCUUAGUGACCUACUGUUUCCACAAGUGGCAACUGAGGGGUAAAAAACUGCAGAAAGCGCAGGAGGAAUAUCAGCGAGACCAUGAAAAGAGCAUGUUCCAAAGCAUGUCAGGACUUGUUUCAUAAAAGAAAUCAAUCCAACAUGAAAUAUUCCUGCAUUACCUGAACGUGAAAAAUAACUAACUAUUGGAAGCUACAUAUUGAAAUGUCCACCUAAAUAUAUCCUGGUUUUACCUAAUUUGUAAGAAUUUUUAAUAGUUUGGAAAUUUGCAACGGCUUCCUUAUAAGUCAAAAAUAUUCAGUUGUCUCAUUUGUGCAAAGUAAAAUAAAUGCAACCAUGUAUUUUAAUCCGCAUUUUAUUUACAAAAAAAACCAGUAGAUCAAACCCUGCUGUCCUUACUCUAUCAAAAUUCCCAUGGAAGUCAAAGGGCCAGAGUCUCAGCUCGUUCCAAUCAGCAUAGCUGAUAGGAGUUGAUCAUUAGCAGAUGAUCUGGCUCGAAAUUUGAUAAACUAAUGAAAGCUUUAUCUGAGUAAGGUCCACAGGAUUUUCCAAAUUACCACCCAAUCCUGAAAGCCUUCUGGGGCAGAACUCCCAAAGACUUCAAGAAGAGUUCCAUGCACAGAUUGAGCCCUAAGUUUGCUAGCAGACUGUAUGUUGAUAAUAAUUCCAUUUAUUUUGUUUAGGGUCCAUGGGAAUUGAGGGCACUCAACACCUCACAUGAUGGUCCCAGACUUAUUAAGGAGCAUGCAAGCUGAACACACUUUUUUAAAGCUUGCCAUUAUUUUUAACCAGGCUUACAAUGGCGUGUUUCUAUUUUUGUAGCCUGUAAUGUUAUGUCAUGCAAAAGAUGCCGACUCUAUUGUGGGUAACAUAUGUAAGUAAUAUUUUCUAACAAAGUGUUGGAUGUAACAUCAGUAUAAGUAGCUGUUUUAAAAUGUAGAAAAUAUGUAAAAAAUGCAAACAAAAACCCUGCUCAAGUAUAUAGCUUGCUUGCAAUUACCAUUAGCUGGUGCUGUAUGUAUCUUUAAACAAGCUAUAAUACUGUGAUAAUGCUGUACACUUGC
This is a long non-coding RNA of Chrysemys picta bellii (western painted turtle), 2274 nucleotides long. RefSeq lists it as uncharacterized. NCBI's taxonomy places the organism in Eukaryota, Metazoa, Chordata, Testudines, Emydidae. The record is from RefSeq and is a predicted model, not a curated record.